GACGAACGCUGGCGGCGUGCCUAAUACAUGCAAGUAGAACGCACAGUUUAUACCGUAGCUUGCUACACCAUAGACUGUGAGUUGCGAACGGGUGAGUAACGCGUAGGUAACCUGCCUGGUAGCGGGGGAUAACUAUUGGAAACGAUAGCUAAUACCGCAUAAUAUUAAUUAUUGCAUGAUAAUUAAUUGAAAGGUGCAAUUGCACCACUACCAGAUGGACCUGCGUUGUAUUAGCUAGUAGGUGAGGUAACGGCUCACCUAGGCGACGAUACAUAGCCGACCUGGGAGGGUGAUCGGCCACACUGGGACUGAGACACGGCCCAGACUCCUACGGGAGGCAGCAGUAGGGAAUCUUCGGCAAUGGACGAAAGUCUGACCGAGCAACGCCGCGUGAGUGAAGAAGGUUUUCGGAUCGUAAAGCUCUGUUGUAAGAGAAGAACGGGUGUGAGAGUGGAAAGUUCACACUGUGACGGUAUCUUACCAGAAAGAGACGGCUAACUACGUG
Molecule: ribosomal RNA, 505 nt
Filed under: uncultured bacterium
Lineage: Bacteria
Description: partial 16S ribosomal RNA
Rfam family: Bacterial small subunit ribosomal RNA
Source: RNAcentral